GAUGAAGAACGGAGCGAAAUGCGAUAAGUAAUGUGAAUUGCAGAAUUCAGUGAAUCAUCGAGUCUUUGAACGCACAUUGCGCCCCCUGGUAUUCCGGGGGGCAUGCCUGUCCGAGCGUCAUUGCCGCCCUCAAGCACGGCUUGUGUGUUGGGCCCCCGCCCCCCGGCUUCGGGGGGCGGGCCCGAAAGGCAGCGGCGGCACCGCGUCCGGUCCUCGAGCGUAUGGGGCUUCGUCACCCGCUCUGUAGGCCCGGCCGGCGCCCGCCGGCGACCCCAAUCAAUCUUUCCAGGUUGACCUCGGAUCAGGUAGGGAUACCCGCUGAACUUAAGCAUAUCAAUAAGCGGAGGA
Molecule: unclassified non-coding RNA, 348 nt
Filed under: soil metagenome
Description: partial contains 5.8S ribosomal RNA, internal transcribed spacer 2, and large subunit ribosomal RNA
Rfam family: 5.8S ribosomal RNA (bases 1-120)
Source: RNAcentral